RNAcentral lists this ribosomal RNA (230 nucleotides) under uncultured bacterium. RNAcentral's name for it is "partial 16S ribosomal RNA". It matches the Rfam family "Bacterial small subunit ribosomal RNA", at positions 567 to 791 of the family's 1533-position model. The record is from RNAcentral.
AAGACGUGCGCAGGCGGUUAUAUAAGACAGAUGUGAAAUCCCCGGGCUCAACCUGGGAACUGCAUUUGUGACUGUAUAGCUGGAGUGCGGCAGAGGGGGAUGGAAUUCCGCGUGUAGCAGUGAAAUGCGUAGAUAUGCGGAGGAACACCGAUGGCGAAGGCAAUCCCCUGGGCCUGCACUGACGCUCAUGCACGAAAGCGUGGGGAGCAAACAGGAUUAGAUACCCUAGU